GACGAACGCUGGCGGCGUGCUUAACACAUGCAAGUCGAACGGAAAGGCCCUGCUUUUGUGGGGUGCUCGAGUGGCGAACGGGUGAGUAACACGUGAGUAACCUGCCCUUGACUUUGGGAUAACUUCACGAAACUGGGGCUAAUACCGUAUAGGAGAUCCUGCUGCAUGGUGGGGGUUGGAAAGUUUCGGCGGUUGGGGAUGGACUCGCGGCUUAUCAGCUUGUUGGUGGGGUAGUGGCUUCCCAAGGCUUUGGAGGGUAGCCCGCCUGAGAGCGUGACCGGGCACAAUGGUACUGCGAGACGGACCAGACGCGUACGGGAGGCAGCAGUGGGGAACAUUGCACAAUGAGCGCAAGCCUGAUGCAGAAGCGCCGGGUUCGGGAAGACGGCCUUCGGGUUGUAAACCGCUUUCGCCUGUUACGAAGCGGGAGUGACGGUAACGGGUAAAGAAGCACCGGCUAACUACGUG
This 468-nucleotide ribosomal RNA is filed under the name uncultured bacterium. RNAcentral's name for it is "partial 16S ribosomal RNA". It matches the Rfam family "Bacterial small subunit ribosomal RNA", at positions 28 to 507 of the family's 1533-position model. The record is from RNAcentral.